AAGAAAUUCGAGAUUAUUCAUUAUUAUCUUCGCAAAUGGAUGGAGGUUAUCGUAAGUUCCUUGUAUAAUUACAUGCUCAUCAUGCUUUCUUGGCAUUCAUUUUUAAGUUCUUGCUGCAAACUCAUCUUAAAAUAAUGAAGGUAACAUUGGUGCUGUUAGUUCUGGCGUGUGCCAUGAGUCUCGCUUAUGGAGACCUAGUCUGCGGUUCAAGCUACUGCAAAGACAACCCAUGCACGGCGAAAAUCAGCGCAAAGGCCUGUAAAACGCCUGCGUUGUACAGAGCCAACCACGCCGGCAAAUGUGCUUGCUGCCCGGCCUGCGUAACUUUAUUAUCUGAUUUAGCCGCCUGCAAGACUUACAACAAAAAAUUAGGAGAGACUCCAUCAGCAGUUUGUCGUGAACCACUCAAAUGCCUCAAGGGUGUCUGCACAGGGCUUAAAUAUGGUUUGAAAUACCACCAUUUCUGUUAAAAUAAACAAUUAAUAAAUAAAGAUUCAAAGAUUCAAAGAUA
This is a long non-coding RNA of Pieris napi, 511 nucleotides long. RefSeq lists it as uncharacterized. Lineage: Eukaryota; Metazoa; Arthropoda; Insecta; Lepidoptera; Pieridae. The transcript is spliced from 3 exons. The record is from RefSeq and is a predicted model, not a curated record.